CAACUUUCAGCAACGGAUCUCUUGGCUCUCGCAUCGAUGAAGAACGCAGCGAAAUGCGAUAAGUAAUGUGAAUUGCAGAAUUCAGUGAAUCAUCGAAUCUUUGAACGCACCUUGCACUCCUUGGUAUUCCGAGGAGUAUGCCUGUUUGAGUGUCAUUG
This 158-nucleotide ribosomal RNA is filed under the name uncultured Cortinarius. RNAcentral describes it as "5.8S ribosomal RNA". It matches the Rfam family "5.8S ribosomal RNA". From Rfam's summary of the family: 5.8S ribosomal RNA (5.8S rRNA) is a component of the large subunit of the eukaryotic ribosome. It is transcribed by RNA polymerase I as part of the 45S precursor that also contains 18S and 28S rRNA. Functionally, it is thought that 5.8S rRNA may be involved in ribosome translocation. The record is from RNAcentral. Lineage: Eukaryota; Fungi; Basidiomycota; Agaricomycetes; Agaricales; Cortinariaceae.